CACCGGAAUGAUAACUGGAUGGCUUGUCGUUGAAUCACUAUUCUACAUAAUUUUGAUUUGUUAUCUUAUCGCUGGCUGUCUUUUAGUUUUCCGGAAGAUCAAAAUGAGGCGAGUGGAUAACUAGUGGCUAAUGUGUCUUUUAGCAUGUUAGCUUCAUCUGCUCCCUUGAACAUUU
This 175-nucleotide small nucleolar RNA is filed under the name Pichia membranifaciens NRRL Y-2026. Lineage: Eukaryota; Fungi; Ascomycota; Pichiomycetes; Pichiales; Pichiaceae. The record is from RNAcentral.